RNAcentral lists this long non-coding RNA (240 nucleotides) under Nicotiana benthamiana. RNAcentral describes it as "long non-coding RNA (NBEN_LNC001084)". Lineage: Eukaryota; Viridiplantae; Streptophyta; Magnoliopsida; Solanales; Solanaceae. The record is from RNAcentral.
AGGUUACUGACAUUUUGUAAUAUACUGAUUGAGCAUUGUAUGAUUGACUUGUUUGGAGACAACAAAUAUUUGAAUGCUCCAUAUUUUGCAUCUUUGUACUUUAAAAACCAGUUAAAGAGCUUAAACUGAGCAGUCAGUACCUACGAUACACCUAUUGGUAGCGUUUCAAGAGUCGCAGCAUAGACUAAUACAUUUUCAGCCGCACACCAAUUAUGUUGAGUGCUAUCUUGUUAAAUGUUU